Molecule: ribosomal RNA, 123 nt
Filed under: Limosilactobacillus mucosae
Lineage: Bacteria; Bacillati; Bacillota; Bacilli; Lactobacillales; Lactobacillaceae
Description: Lactobacillus mucosae 23S rRNA. Bacterial LSU
Rfam family: Bacterial large subunit ribosomal RNA
Source: RNAcentral
GAUGAGAUUUCCCAUUCCUUAUGGAAGUAAGACCCCUCAGAGAUGAUGAGGUGGAUAGGAUGGAAGUGGAAGUGCCGCGAGGCAUGGAGCGGACCAUUACUAAUCGGUCGAGGGCUUAACCAA